GGGGGAAUAGCUCAGCUGGGAGAGCAGUAGACUGAAGAUCUAAAGGUCCUGCGUUCGAUCCGCGGUUUCCCCA
This is a transfer RNA of Hypholoma sublateritium FD-334 SS-4, 73 nucleotides long. It matches the Rfam family "tRNA". From Rfam's summary of the family: Transfer RNA (tRNA) molecules are approximately 80 nucleotides in length. Their secondary structure includes four short double-helical elements and three loops (D, anti-codon, and T loops). NCBI's taxonomy places the organism in Eukaryota, Fungi, Basidiomycota, Agaricomycetes, Agaricales, Strophariaceae. The record is from Rfam.